AGCAGCCGCGGUAAUUCCAGCUCCAAUAGCGUAUAUUAAAGUUGUUGCAGUUAAAAAGCUCGUAGUUGAAUUUCGGGAUUGACGUGAUGGUCGUGCCUUACGGGGUAUGAACUGUUGCUGUUGAUUUCUCACCUUCUGGAGAAACUUGAUGUCCUUAAUUGGGUGUCUUGCGGAUCCAGGACCUUUACCUUGAAAAAAUUAGAGUGUUUAAAGCAGGCAUUUUGCUCGAAUACAUUAGCAUGGAAUAAUAGAAUAGGACGGCAUGGUUCUAUUUUGUUGGUUUCUAGGAUCACCGUAAUGAUUAAUAGGGAUAGUUGGGGGCAUUAGUAUUCAAUUGUCAGAGGUGAAAUUCUUGGAUUUAUUGAAGACUAACUACUGCGAAAGCAUUUGCCAAGGAUGUUUUCAUUAAUCAAGAACGAAAGUUAGGGGAUCGAAGACGAUCAGAUACCGUCGUAGUCUUAACCAUAAACUAUGACCGACUAAGGAAUCAGACGAUGUUAAUUUUUUAAUGUACUCGUUU
This 520-nucleotide unclassified non-coding RNA is filed under the name uncultured Entrophospora. RNAcentral describes it as "SSU rRNA". It matches the Rfam family "Eukaryotic small subunit ribosomal RNA", at positions 569 to 1081 of the family's 1831-position model. The record is from RNAcentral. Lineage: Eukaryota; Fungi; Glomeromycota; Glomeromycetes; Entrophosporales; Entrophosporaceae.